Molecule: non-coding RNA, 116 nt
Filed under: Paenibacillus beijingensis
Lineage: Bacteria; Bacillati; Bacillota; Bacilli; Caryophanales; Paenibacillaceae
Description: Glycine sequence
Rfam family: Glycine riboswitch aptamer
About the family: This family represents the bacterial glycine riboswitch.
Source: Rfam by way of RNAcentral
GGACGCAACUCUGGAGAGUGCCGUUUGGCCACCGAAGGGGAAACCUUUCUCGUUUAUGAUCCGUCUGAUGGAGACGAGAAAGGAAAGCUCUCAGGUAAAAGGACAGAGAAAGGUCU